UGAAUCGAAAGCGAUGUUGGUGAGGUUCAAUCCGAAGACAGAUUUACAAACAUAUGGCUGCUGCAGGCCACGUAAAUUGAUCUCAGAUUGAGCCGCGCCAAUAUCACUUUCUUA
Molecule: microRNA precursor, 114 nt
Filed under: Fragaria vesca subsp. vesca
Lineage: Eukaryota; Viridiplantae; Streptophyta; Magnoliopsida; Rosales; Rosaceae
Source: RNAcentral